This 1248-nucleotide long non-coding RNA is filed under the name Anser cygnoides (Swan goose). Its description in RNAcentral is "lncRNA (ENSACDG00005004594.1)". Lineage: Eukaryota; Metazoa; Chordata; Aves; Anseriformes; Anatidae. The record is from RNAcentral.
AUGUCAGGAUGCCUGAACUCGCUGGGGCUGUUGAAUGCGUUUCCUCUCGCCCGCGGUUCUCACACGGGGCGAGGGGGCCGCAUUGUCUGCCGUGCCCAUGCCUGGAGGGCUAAAUAUAGCCCUGCGCCGGGGGAAGGAAGGGAGUGGGUCUGGGGGCUGCUUUGCUUUCAUUGCGCAUUGUUGGUGGCGGGGCCGACAAGGGCAGGAUUGUGCCCUGCUUUGGUGCUGCCUCCGUGGUGGGUGCUGGGGCUCUGGGGUGCUUCAGGAGGGUGCUGCUGGCAUGGGGGGGGGGGGGGGGGGCUGCAGGCAAGCCNNNNNNNNNNNNNNNNNNNNGGGGGGGGGGGGGGGGGGGGGGGGGGCUGCAGGCAGAGCCGAGCCCCCAGUGAACACCCAGGGGCUCGACUGCUCCUGCCCUGGCCAUCUCCGGGUCCCCAUGGGCCGGGGGGGCCGUGCUGUGGCCCCAGUUGGCAUCACCUUGCCCAGCCUCUGCCCUUCCUCCCUUCCCAGCUGCAAUUUUGCUCCCGCCGCCGCCGCUCUUCCUGUGAGCAAGUCGGAUUUAGAAGCUUGCUCUUUUCUCUAUGCUGGGAAAGCUUAAAAAUAAACUCCUUGGUGCUCAGCCAGCUCCUCAGGCAGAUCCUUGCAGCGGGACGUGCUGCGGCAGCUCUCGCACUGCUCCUCUCCCCGGUCUGGGGCUGGGCUGUGCGGGGGAACCCAGCCUGGCCCCAAGCAGAGGGCAGGAUGCUCCCUGCAAACCCGUGGUCCUGGGGCUGUCGCAGGUACAGUGCUUUUGGGGGCUGGGGCUGGCAUUGGAGCAAUGGCCCCAGCGGGAACUGGGGUCCUGGGAAGUGCACAGCCUCUCCAGGGCUGGAAAGCUGCCCCCAAAUUCUUCCUGGAUUAGGAGGUGCUCUGAGUGGCGACCCAAAAACUGGCAGCAUGGCACUGGGGGUGCAUGGCUACGUGCCCAAGGGACACCCACGUCUGUGCAUCCUGAGCUUCAGGUUGUUGGAGGUCAGCUCAGGUGCACGUCCCGCUGACAGCCCCCUCUCCCCCUCUCUGCUGCCCUUGAACACAUCCCAUUGCUCUCUGGGCACUCGCUUUUCUUCUAGUGUGUGCAGAAACAGCCCCACGCUGCUGCCUGCACCCACGGAGCAAAGCGUGCACGUUGGGCACGGCACGGGGAGGUCUCCCACUGGGUUAGUUUUUGGGGGCUGCACCUCCGAAAAUCCCUUCAGCCUCGGAUUGGGAUAA